GUAGGUGGCAAGCGUUGUCCGGAUUUAUUGGGCGUAAAGCGAACGCAGGCGGGAGAACAAGUCAGCUGUGAAAGCCCUCGGCUUAACCGAGGAACGGCAACUGAAACUGUUUUUCUUGAGUGCAGGAGGGGAGAGUGGAACUCCAUGUGUAGCGGUGAAAUGCGUAGAUAUAUGGAAGAACACCAGUGGCGAAGGCGGCUCUCUGGUCUGUAACUGACGCUGAGGUUCGAAAGCAUGGGUAGCGAACAGGAUUAGAUACCCUGGUAGUCCAUGCCGUAAACGAUGAGUGCUAAGUGUUGGGAGGUUUCCGCCUCUCAGUGCUGCAGCUAACGCAUUAAGCACUCCGCCUGGGGAGUACGACCGCAAGGUUA
Molecule: ribosomal RNA, 371 nt
Filed under: uncultured bacterium
Lineage: Bacteria
Description: bacterial SSU rRNA
Rfam family: Bacterial small subunit ribosomal RNA
Source: RNAcentral